AUUUUUCAAAAAUAGUGCGUGACGGGUUACUUCAUCUAACUAACAAGUUACGUGUGUGAGAAAAAGAGUUAUUCAACUUAAAACUGUUCAGAGUAAUCUAUUACUGCCUUUGAGUAACAAAUUACCAAUUUUGAAAAAGUUGAGUAACUGAUUACCUAAAUGGUGUAAUCGAUUACUCUAAUUCGUUUUUAAAAGAACAGUGGACAGA
RNAcentral lists this long non-coding RNA (208 nucleotides) under Lupinus angustifolius (narrow-leaved blue lupine). RNAcentral describes it as "long non-coding RNA (LANG_LNC000522)". The record is from RNAcentral. Lineage: Eukaryota; Viridiplantae; Streptophyta; Magnoliopsida; Fabales; Fabaceae.